AUGGGGCUUCUCAAGGAUCCCAUAGCUCUCUUCCUAGCGGCCAUCGUUGUGACCGCCAUGGCCAUGUCAUCAUGUCAUGGUGCACAAGGUAAGGAGUGCAACCGGAUCCUGCCGUGCACAGACAGUGCGUGCUACAUCCACUGCCAGAAGCUGGGGUACAAGGACCCCAAGACGCGCUGUGAGCGUAGCCCUCCCACUAAAGGCCAGUUCUACGAUACAUGCUGCUGUCUAAAAUCGGAGAUGGACAACAACGGGCUGCCCUCGGAGCGAUCGAUCUUAACUUGGCCGUCGAACAGAGGAAAAGAAAGUCCUAUUACAAGAGUUGACCUCUGGGCGCCGUGCAAGGCAACGCUGAGUGACAACUUCUCCCUCCUCGAGCAACACCAGCUUAGAAACGGGCCAAAUAUACCACUGAGCUGGCGACCAAGGAGGCCGUGGCGGCUAUGCCUAUGGAGAACCAUAACUUUGUCGCCGAGCAACGGGCGCCUUACGAGGCCACCCGUGCUUGUGCCUGCUGCAUUGUGCCCUGCGACGCAGCCGGAUGGGGAGGAGGUGCUGAUGGUGCAGGCGAUCUUAGACGAGAACGCCGGCAGCUCGUUGGCGCCGUUUGAAAUAUAUGUAGGCAUGGUUGGAUGGUCGACUCCUGCAUCACUGUCAGCGGACAUCCAGACCAGCCGGGAGACAAAUACGGUGUCCGAUUUGGGGGCCGGCUUUGCAGAUACUCUAAGAGCAUCUACAAAACAAUCCAGUGCACCUUCCCCUUGCGGUCGCCGGUGCAACAGUGCCCCUCCAUGUAGGCAUUGGCGGUCGAAAGGGUAUCAUCGUCGGAGCUGGAGCUGUAGGUGCCUUUCAAGUUGUCGUCGGAGCAUAUUUGUCCCGUCAACCUCCGGAGCAGGUGGUCCUGCUCCUUCGCAUGUCAGGACGCCUUCGCCUUGGCUGUCGCCUCCGCUGUUGACGCUCCGACGGCUUGAGGAUGAGCCGGAGCGCUUUGGCAUUCUUGCGGCGGAGCCGCCGCUCAUCCGUCUCCACCGUUAUCAGGGAGUGGAGGAGGACUGGCGCGAGGAGCACUUCCUCGGGAUCCAUCGACGCGUAGCUAACGCCUCCACCGCCGCCGCCCUCUCCUAG
Molecule: ribosomal RNA, 1125 nt
Filed under: Triticum aestivum (bread wheat)
Lineage: Eukaryota; Viridiplantae; Streptophyta; Magnoliopsida; Poales; Poaceae
Description: partial small subunit ribosomal RNA
Source: RNAcentral